This 1343-nucleotide ribosomal RNA is filed under the name uncultured bacterium. Its description in RNAcentral is "bacterial SSU rRNA". It matches the Rfam family "Bacterial small subunit ribosomal RNA", at positions 28 to 1380 of the family's 1533-position model. The record is from RNAcentral.
GACGAACUUUGGCGGCGUGCUUAACACAUGCAAGUCGAACGGAAAGGCCCUGCUUUUGUGGGGUGCUCGAGUGGCGAACGGGUGAGUAACACGUGAGUAACCUGCCCUUGACUUUGGGAUAACUUCAGGAAACUGGGGCUAAUACCGGAUAGGAGCUCCUGCUGCAUGGUGGGGGUUGGAAAGUUUCGGCGGUUGGGGAUGGACUCGCGGCUUAUCAGCUUGUUGGUGGGGUAGUGGCUUACCAAGGCUUUGACGGGUAGCCGGCCUGAGAGGGUGACCGGCCGCAUUGGGACUGAGAUACGGCCCAGACUCCUACGGGAGGCAGCAGUGGGGAAUAUUGCACAAUGGGCGGAAGCCUGAUGCAACAACGCCGCGUGCGGGAUGACGGCCUUCGGGUUGUAAACCGCUUUCGCCUGUGACGAAGCGUGAGUGACGGUAAUGGGUAAAGAAGCACCGGCUAACUACGUGCCAGCAGCCGCGGUGAUACGUAGGGUGCAAGCGUUGUCCAGAUUUAUUGGGCGUAAAGGGCUCGUAGGUGGUUGAUCGCGUCGGAAGUGUAUCUUGGGGCUUAACCCUGAGCGUGCUUUCGAUACGGGUUGACUUGAGGAAGGUAGGGGGGAAUGGAAUUCCUGGUGGAGCGGUGGAAUGCGCGAUAUCAGGAGGAACACCAGUGGCGAAGGCGGUUCUCUGGGCCUUUCCUGACGCUGAGGAGCGAAAGCGUGGGGAGCGAACAGGCUUAGAUACCCUGGUAGUCCACGCUGUAAACGGUGGGUACUAGGUGUGGGGUCCAUUCCACGGGUUCCGUGCCGUAGCUAACGCUUUAAGUACCCCGCCUGGGGAGUACGGCCGCAAGGCUAAAACUCAAAGGAAUUGACGGGGCCCCGCACAAGCGGCGGAGCAUGCGGAUUAAUUCGAUGCAACGCGUAGAACCUUACCUGGGUUUGACAUGGAUCGGGAGUGCUCAGAGAUGGGUGUGCCUCUUUUGGGGUCGGUUCACAGGUGGUGCAUGCCUGUCGUCAGCUCGUGUCGUGAGAUGUUGGGUUAAGUCCCGCAACGAGCGCAACCCUUGUUCACUGUUGCCAGCACGUUAUGGUGGGGACUCAGUGGAGACCGCCGGGGUCAACUCGGAGGAAGGUGGGGAUGACGUCAAGUCAUCAUGCCCCUUAUGUCCAGGGCUUCACGCAUGCUACAAUGGCUGGUACAGAGAGUGGCGAGCCUGUGAGGGUGAGCGAAUCUCGGAAAGCCGGUCUCAGUUCGGAUUGGGGUCUGCAACUCGACCUCAUGAAGUCGGAGUCGCUAGUAAUCGCAGAUCAGCAACGCUGCGGUGAAUACGUUCCCGGGGC